RNAcentral lists this unclassified non-coding RNA (258 nucleotides) under uncultured fungus. Its description in RNAcentral is "sequence contains 18S rRNA gene, ITS1, 5.8S rRNA gene". The stretch from base 1 to 52 matches the Rfam family "Eukaryotic small subunit ribosomal RNA", at positions 1780 to 1831 of the family's 1831-position model. Lineage: Eukaryota; Fungi. The record is from RNAcentral.
AAGUAAAAGUCGUAACAAGGUCUCCGUAGGUGAACCUGCGGAGGGAUCAUUACAAGUUGACCCCGGCCCUCGGGCCGGGAUGUUCACAACCCUUUGUUGUCCGACUCUGUUGCCUCCGGGGCGACCCUGCCUCCGGGCGGGGGCCCCGGGUGGACAUUUCAAACUCUUGCGUAACUUUGCAGUCUGAGUAAAUUUAAUUAAUAAAUUAAAACUUUCAACAACGGAUCUCUUGGUUCUGGCAUCGAUGAAGAACGCAGC